GCGGGGCGGGGCGCACG
This 17-nucleotide microRNA is filed under the name Macrophomina phaseolina MS6. Its description in RNAcentral is "miR-4508". The record is from RNAcentral. Lineage: Eukaryota; Fungi; Ascomycota; Dothideomycetes; Botryosphaeriales; Botryosphaeriaceae.